This is a long non-coding RNA of Coregonus clupeaformis (lake whitefish), 368 nucleotides long. RefSeq lists it as uncharacterized. Lineage: Eukaryota; Metazoa; Chordata; Actinopteri; Salmoniformes; Salmonidae. The record is from RefSeq and is a predicted model, not a curated record. The transcript is spliced from 4 exons.
CGUCUUGCCAAAAUCAGUGAUCAGUCGCCACUGACUGGAACGAAACACGGAUCUGUUUUGCGGUCAGCCAGUGAUGACCACCUGUAUUGCUCCCUGUCUGGAUUGUCUCCACAUGUAACAAUCUCUACAGCCCAUGGAGAGACAUUGUGCCUCUCGGAUGAUACUGUUGAAGAUGCCGACAUUGGGUUACUGGAUGACAUGGCUAUUCUCCAGAUGCAGAAGUUGAUGAAACUGAUGGACUACCUUUACAACAAAGUCAAAGCGAAUCAGCAAUGAUACCAAGACAUCUAACGUUGAUCCACUAAUGCCACCUAUGCAUGUUUUACGUUCAAAUUAAAAGUUGUGAUUCAAUAAAUUGUAUUUGUAUA